CAGCAGCCGCGGGAAUACGUAGGGUGCGAGCGUUAAUCGGAAUUACUGGGCGUAAAGCGUGCGCAGGCGGUUAUGCAAGACAGAUGUGAAAUCCCCGGGCUUAACCUGGGAACUGCAUUUGUGACUGCGUGGCUAGAGUGCGGCAGAGGGGGAUGGAAUUCCGCGUGUAGCAGUGAAAUGCGUAGAUAUGCGGAGGAACACCGAUGGCGAAGGCAAUCCCCUGGGCCUGCACUGACGCUCAUGCACGAAAGCGUGGGGAGCAAACAGGAUUAGAUACCCCAGUAGUCCCUGUCUCUUAUAC
Molecule: ribosomal RNA, 301 nt
Filed under: uncultured bacterium
Lineage: Bacteria
Description: partial 16S ribosomal RNA
Rfam family: Bacterial small subunit ribosomal RNA
Source: RNAcentral